Molecule: transfer RNA, 72 nt
Filed under: Camelus bactrianus (Bactrian camel)
Lineage: Eukaryota; Metazoa; Chordata; Mammalia; Artiodactyla; Camelidae
Also listed under: 1 other name
Rfam family: tRNA
About the family: Transfer RNA (tRNA) molecules are approximately 80 nucleotides in length. Their secondary structure includes four short double-helical elements and three loops (D, anti-codon, and T loops).
Source: Rfam by way of RNAcentral
GGGGGUAGAGCUCAGUGGUAGAGCAUGUGCUUAGCAUGCACAAGGUCCUGGGUUCAAACCCCAGUACCUCCA